Molecule: non-coding RNA, 80 nt
Organism: Pelobates cultripes (western spadefoot toad)
Lineage: Eukaryota; Metazoa; Chordata; Amphibia; Anura; Pelobatidae
Source: the annotation of a GenBank genome assembly
CCCCUUUUCCGGCAACACACUGCUUCACCUAAAUAUAGUGCAAUAUAUUUAGGUGAAGCAGUGUGUUGCUGGAAAAGGGG